This 254-nucleotide long non-coding RNA is filed under the name Physcomitrium patens. RNAcentral's name for it is "long non-coding RNA (PPAT_LNC013902)". The record is from RNAcentral. Lineage: Eukaryota; Viridiplantae; Streptophyta; Bryopsida; Funariales; Funariaceae.
ACAGUAGGGGUAACAUGUUGUCGUUAUCACCACUAGGUAAAAGAAUAGGAAUGGAACAUCCAUUUACGGUCAUUCUCAGGUGUCGCAUUCUGUUAUUGUUUCUUUUUGGUGUUACAAUUUUGGGUGUUUCCAAGUACUGGAGCAUAAUAUUGACGGUUAGAGCUUGAAAGAGUGUGGGUCAUGGCGAUUGAGAGUGCAAAGAGAGCUACAGACAGAGAGAAAAGUCACCAAAAUGUGAAAGCUAAAUGUAAUUU